UUGAAAGAUACUUUUUUCCUAAAAGCCGAGCCAAUAGGAUGAACUAAAAAAAAAAAAAAGAGUUCUGCAUUAUGAACUUUGUAUCGCGCACAUAACUUAGUCAACUUUAGUCACAUAACUGGGAAUGAAUAAAUAAGAUUGGAAAGCAAUACAAUAAAUGGGGGGGUUAAAAUUCUAUUUCUAUUGUAUCUAAUCUAAUGAAUCUUGGGGGUAUUUCUGCCCUUCAACGAUAGAUACUAUAGAUAGAUAUAGAUAGAUAGAUAUAGAUCUUUUUUUUUUUACUUUUUUUUAUUCUUUCAACCAGAACUUUCCUUUCGAAUAUGUAUUAGGUAUAAAGUCUUAUACAUUUUUUUUGAACGGAUGGAUCCACAACAUGAACAAAAAAGAGAGGGGGAUAAAGGAUUAUUGCACUUUUUUUACUAAAGAUACGUUUAAUUUGAAGACUAUAAACUUAUCAAAAUUAAUCAAUCCUAUGCCAAGAACCAGAUUUGAACUGGUGACACGAGGAUUUUCAGUCCUCUGCUCUACCAACUGAGCUAUCCCGGCCAUUACCGAAGUAUCAUUCUCAUUUUAUGAGAUGACUUAGGUCUAUGUCAAUUAAAAGAAACGCAAAAGUAGUAAAUGAAAAAAGUUUUGGACCGGGAAUUUAUUGGAUCUUCGAAAAGAAGACUUUCUAAGUUUUAGAAUGAAAAAUUAUUUAGAUUCGAAAUAAUUCAAAUCGAUAGUUCUUUCUCAUUUGUAUAUGUAUGAUAUAUCCCACAAGACUUGUAUAUAAUAAGAAAAGAAAUUCGAGUUUGUAAAAGUGUCGGAUGAAUGAAAAAAGAUCAAUGAAUUCUUGAAUAACUAAAAAAAGGGUAAGGUGUCAAACAGACUUUUUUAGGGAGUAGGGUUGGGGAUAGAGGGACUUGAACCCUCACGAUUUUAAAAGUCAACGGAUUUUCAUCUUACUAUAAAUUUCAUUGUUGUCAGUAUUGACAUGUAGAAUGGGACUCUAUCUUUAUUCUCGUCCGAUUAAUAAGUUCCACCAAGGAUCUAUCAGACUAUGAAGUGAAUCGUUUGAUUCAACACAAGGGAUUGAACUCCAUUUGUUAGAACAGCUUCCAUUGAGUCUCUGCACCUAUCCCGCUUUCUAAACUCUGGUUUGUUCGCGUAACCCAGGAUUUGGCUCAGGAUUGCCCAUUGUUAAUUCCAGGGUUUCUCUGAAUUUGAAAGUUAUCACUUAGUAGGUUUCCAUACCAAGGCUCAAUCCAAUUAAGUCCGUAGCGUCUACCAAUUCCGCCAUAUCCCCCUUUUUGCUUUGAGAUUAGGAUCUCAUUAUGAUGUCUUUCCACUUUUUCUUAUGACGAAACCUUGGAAUUCAUUACAUACAGAUACUUAUUUUAUUUCUUUGGUAUCUUCUUGCAUUUUUUUUAGCCCCAUCCAUAUUGAUUUAGUUUAAUCAACAAAGAUUCUAUCAUUUUUGUAUUUGCAAUUCAAUAUGGUUAUAUAUUAGAGAACAUAUAUAUGUUCUUCCUUUUCUCAUCGUUGUCUUCAAUUUUAAGAAAUAGUCGAAUGGGAAUUAAUUAUUUUGAAGGAAAUUAUUUCAAUAUCUAGAUAUUUAUGUCUUGACAAAGCGUUCCCCGAAUGAUGCAUCGAGAUCAGAGUCAACCUCCAUGAACCUUUAUGGACUAAACUCAUAACUGGUCUAAAAAUGAAUCUCCACGCAUUCGCCUGGGCUGCGGAAGACUUGCCAGGGAUUGACAUCAACAUAACCUGCCACGAGCUGAAUAUCGAUCCAACCUUCAAACCAGUCGAACAUAAAAGACGAAAGUUGGGACCUGAGCGCGCUACUGCAGUCAACGACGAAGUCGAAAAACUGCUUAAAGUCGGAUCGAUAACAGAAGUCAACCCUGUAGCUGUCAAGAAGAAAAACGGAAAGUGGCGAGUCUGUGUUGACUUUACUGACCUUAACAAAGCCUGUCCAAAGGAUAGCUCCCCCUUACCACAUCGAUCAAUUGGUCGAAGCAACAGCGGGAAACAAACUCUUGUCCUUCAUGGAUGCCUUUUCGGGUUACAAUCAAAUUAUGAUGAACCCUGACGAUCGCAAAAAAAUUGCAAUUAUUACAUAUCGCAGAACUUAUUGCUACAAGGUGAUGCCCUUCAGCCUCAAAAACGCCGGCGCAACUUAUCAAAGACUCGUAAACCAGAUGUUCUCCGAACAACUUGGUAAAACUAUGGAGGUCUAUAUCGACGACAUGCUCGUCAAAUCCCUCCAUGCAGAAGAUCACGUGUCUCAUCUAGAGGAAUUUUUCAUGCGACUAAACAUGCACAACAUCAAGCUUAACCCGGCAAAAUGCAGAUUCGCCGUAGCGUCGGGGGAAUUCCAAGGUUACCUAGUGACAUACCGCGGUAUCGAAGCUAAUCCAAAACAAAUCGAUGCACUGAUCGAGAUGGCUUCGCCCAAAAACAAGCGGGAAGUACAUAGAUUAACCAGGAGAGUCGCAGCACUUAACCGAUUCAUCUCGCGAUCAACGGACAAAUGCUUACCUUUCAACGAUAUCCUACGGGGGAACAAAAAAUUUGAGUGGUCAGAGGAGUGCGAAAAUGCUUUUCAACAGCUGAAACGCUACUUGGCAACCCCUCCGGUUCUCACAAAACCUGUCGAAGGACAACCUUUGUUCUUAUAUAUCGCAGUAUCAGCAACAGCCGUAAGCGGCGUCUUGAUCAGAGAAGAGCACGGUGAACAGAAACCCAUUUUCUACAUAAGCAAAACUUUGCUAGAUGCUGAGUCACGAUAUCCACUAAUGGAAAAAUUAGCAUACGCGGUCGUAAUAUCGGCACGAAAGCUCCGACCGUACUUCCAAUCCCACACGAUCGUCAUCCUCACGACCUUCCCUCUGAGGACGAUUUUGCAUAGUCCGAGCCAGUCGGAAAGACUAGCCAAAUGGGGAGUCGAGUUAAGUGAGUAUGAUAUAGAAUACCGACCAAAAACGAGUGCAAAAUCCCAAGUACUAGCAGAUUUGUUGGUAGAGCUACCGACGGGAACCGUGACUAACAAGGAACCAAACUCGACAUGGGUCCUUCACGUCGACAGAUCGUCAUCUAAGCAAGGAUCGGGCAUCAGAAUUCGCCACACGUCACCAACCAGUGAAAUCCUAGUACAAUCGUUUAGACUGGAAUUUCACGAGUCCAACAACGAGGCCGAGUACGAAGCACUCAUUGCAGGACUACGAUUAGCUCACGGAUUGAAGAUACGCAACAUCCAUGCCUACUGUGAUUCUCAGCUAGUCGCAAGUCAGUAUAGCGGAGAAUACGAAGCAAGGGAUGAAAGAAUGGAUGCAUAUCUCAAAUUGGUCCAGAAUCUAGCUCAAGAUUUUGACUGUUUCGCUCUCACGCGAAUUCCUUGCUCCGAAAACGUCCAAGCCGAUGCUCUCCCUUCCCUGGCAUCAAGUUCAGAUCCAUGUCUUAAAAGAGUAAUUCCAGUAGAAUUCAUUAAACACCCGAGUAUCGGACCACCAGUCAUUGUCAACCUCAUCAGGGAUGAAGACGACGAUGUAGACGAGGUCGCAGUACAACUAGAAGAAAAGUCGGAGCAAUCCGACUACGGCUGCGAUACGCCAUGGCUGGAAACAAUUCGAGCCUACAUCAUCGACGGAAAAUUACAUCCGCAAAAUCCGAACCCAAGCUGCGCGUUAUGUAACCAUCGACGGAGAAAUUUACAAAUGGAAAUUUUCCGGACCGCUCAUGACGUGUUUGGAAGGAGAAAAUGCGAGAAAAGUUAUGGAAGAAGUCCAUUAUGGAUCCUGCCGAAACCAUUCCGGUGGAAGGUCACUUGCAGUGAAGAUCAAAUGCCACGGAUACUAUUGGCCAACGAUGAUCAGAGAUUGUAAGAAAUUCGCACGAAAAUGCGAAAAGUGCCAAAGGCAUUCUCCGACCAUCCGACAACCAGCCGAGGUUCUCUCUUCCAUCACGUCACCGUAUCCUUUCAUGCGCUGGGCCAUGGACAUCGUCGGACCCCUUCACAAUUCAAAGCAAAAGAGUUUCCUCUUAGUCCUCACUGAUUUCUUCUCAAAGUGGGUGGAGGCAGAAUCAUACGCGAGUAUAAAAGAUGUCCAAGUUGAAAAUUUCGUAUGGAAAAACAUUAUCUGUAGACACGGAGUUCCUUACAAAAUUGUUACUGACAACGGAUCUCAGUUCAUCUCCGCCUGAUUCGAAGCAUUCUGCGAAAAAUGGAAGAUACGAUUAAACAAAUCAACUCCCAGAUAUCCACAAUGCAACGGUCAAGCCGAGAUAAUCAAUAAGACCGUUCUAGACGGACUUAAGAAACACCUAGACGCUAAAAAAGGCAUGUGGGAAGAAGAGCUCGAAGGAGUACUCUGGUCGCACCGCACGACCCCAAGACGAGCAACGGGAGAAAUGCCUUUCGCCCUCGUAUACGGGACAUAAUGCAUGAUCCCCCCAGAAGUCGAAUUCCCGGGCGUCCGAAGAAGAUUACUUCCCGAACGAGAAGAGUUCAACAACACCAUGCUCCUAGACAAUCUCGACCUCAUAAAUGAGCAUCGGGAUAUAGCGCUCGUCCGAAUUCAAAAUUAUCAAUAGGCAGCCGCAAAAUACUAAUUCCAACGUUCAAAAUUGCCGAUUCAACGAAGGAGAUUUAGUCUUGCGCAAAGUCUUCCAAAACACCGCUGAGCGAAACGCGGGAAAACUUGGAGCAAAUUGGGAAGGACCCUACAAGAUCAUAAAAGUAAUUGGACCGGGUUCCUACGAGAUAGCAAACAUGCAAGGCGUAAAAAUUCCAAGGACUUGGAACGCAAUGCAUCUCAAAAAAUAUUAUAACUAAACAAAUCGCUUCGCAAUCACUAAACUACGAGACGACUUGAUCUCCGAAAGGGGUACGUAGGCAGUUUGUCGAAAGAAAAAUUCAGCUGCCCCUCUCUAUAAAAAGGGGUGGGGGGGUGGGGCGGGUACGUAUACGUAUACUCGUAUACUCCCAAGAUUAAAAUAUCUGACAUAACACUCGAUAUUUUCAAAACUUUUCCAACGCAAAAAUACCACAGAACCGCACGAUCAUCUCUGAUCCAAAAAUUAUAUUCGAGUCUUAAAAGAACUCGCAAAUUUACCAGUCACUAGGGAAAAAUCAACCUUUGGCAUUGCGAGACGUCACAAAAACGCCUAAGAAACUAUUUCCCACCAGACAUCGCAUAGACAAAAUCCUGGUCUCAAAAAAAAAAGGAACUAUCAUACGCAUUAAAAUCUUCUCAAACACGUACUCUUCUCGAAGAUCCGAAUGGUAGAAUCUACCACCAGGUUCGUUGCUGAUCACAUCGAACUCCCAACGUCCUAAACAGACUAAGCCAUCUCACAAAGAUGACUCUUAUACAUCCGACACAAGGGUAACAUUGCUAUAAAAGAAAUCUGAAAUUUUGGUCAGCACUUCCACUUUUAAGAAAAAAUAUGGUAGACUAACUGAUCUUUCUAUCAGUUAAUGAAAGAGCCCAAUGCAAAAAAAAUGCAUGUUGGGUCUUUGAAAGAGUUCGAAUCAUUUUGAUAAUAAUAAGUUCGAGCUCUUUUACCGAGCAGGUCUACGGUUCGAAUCCGUAUAGCCCUAACUAAUAAAUUUAUUCUAAUAAAUGACAUUCAAAUCCAAAUAAUUGGAUAAUUUUUGACUUUUUAUUGUAUUCUUUAUUUCUAACUGGUUACUUUCAAUUUGUUGGUUCAUAAAAAAAACUCCCAGACCCUAAACCAUAAGUCCUGGGGGUCGUUCAGAAUAAAACGGAAAACCAAAUUUGAUUUCAUUUGAUUUCAGUGGAUCCAAUCACUAUCUAUAGAUAUAUCUAGAUAGAUACUUAUAAUUUAGAAUAAACGUUUUUUAUUCAUUCAUUUUCAUAGUCGUAAGUGGAUUUUUUGAUACGUCAUAAUUUUAAAAACGAAGAUAUUUUUAUCAAUUUGUUUUAUUUUUAAAUAAAACAUAAAGCAAAUUUAAGAAACAGAAAUAAAAAAAAUUACUAGUUAUUAAUCAUAUUAAUAUUAUAUUAUUAAUAUGAGAAACUAUUAGUAAUAGAAACAUGGAAAUAUUAAGUAAUAAGUGUACUGAAAAUAAGAUUACAAUCAAUAAAUCUUAAAAGGAGACGUCUACCACAGCAACCAAACGAAAAUAAAUGAUUCGAUUAACCUGAAUUUUUGUUUUGACGCAAGAGUUAUAUAUACCUUGCCCAAUCCACUCCGAUUGGAAUUGACUAAGCGGGUAUUUUUUCCACAUUCAUAGGAGUUCGUCUAUGUUUCUGCUUUACGAAUAUGAUAUUUUCUGGGCAUUUUUAAUAAUAUCAAGUGCUAUUCCUGUUUUGGCAUUUCUAAUUUCCGGGGUUUUAUCUCCAAUUACGAAGGGGCCGGAGAAACUUUCUAGUUAUGAAUCAGGUAUAGAACCGAUCGGGGAUGCUUGGUUACAAUUUAGAAUCCGUUAUUAUAUGUUUGCUCUAGUUUUUGUUGUUUUUGAUGUUGAAACCGUUUUUCUGUAUCCGUGGGCAAUGAGUUUCGAUGUACUAGGGGUAUCCGCUUUUAUAGAAGCUUUCAUUUUCGUGCUUAUCCUAAUUCUUGGUUUAGUUUAUGCAUGGCGAAAAGGAGCGUUGGAAUGGUCUUAGUUCGUUUCCUGAAUACUUGUACAAUAACAAUAAAAAAAAAGUAAAAAAAAACCAUUGAAACAAUUAUGAAUUCCAUUAAGUUUCCCGUACUUGAUCGAACAACAAAAAACUCAGUUAUUUCAACUACGUUAAAUGAUCUUUCAAAUUGGUCAAGACUUUCCAGCCUAUGGCCGCUUCUUUAUGGUACCAGUUGUUGUUUUAUUGAAUUUGCCUCAUUAAUAGGCUCCCGAUUUGACUUUGAUCGUUAUGGGCUAGUACCAAGAUCAAGUCCUAGACAGGCGGACCUUAUUUUAACAGCAGGUACAGUAACAAUGAAAAUGGCUCCUUCUUUAGUGAGAUUAUAUGAACAAAUGCCUGAACCAAAGUAUGUUAUUGCUAUGGGAGCGUGUACAAUUACAGGGGGGAUGUUCAGUACCGAUUCUUAUAGUACUGUUCGAGGGGUUGAUAAGCUAAUUCCUGUAGAUGUCUAUUUGCCGGGUUGUCCACCUAAACCAGAGGCUGUUAUAGACGCUAUAACAAAGCUUCGUAAGAAAAUAGCUAGAGAAAUCUAUAAGGAUCGAAUUAGACCUCAACGGGGUAAUCGGUGUUUUACUACCAAUCACAAGUUUUUUGUUGUACGCAGUACACAGACUGGAAAUUAUGAUCAAGAAUUACUCUAUCCACCAUCAUCUACUUCAGAGAUCUCUACUGAAACAUUUUUUAAAUACAAAAGCCCAGUAUCUUCCCACGAAUUAGUUAAUUAGGGAGGCUUUGAGAGAAUAAGAAAAAAAUCUUCAUAAAUUAGAACUCAUGGUAAAUGUGAAAUACUUAAAUUUAUAUAAAAAAGGUGUGGGGGAAAUAAAAAAGAUGCAGGGCACUUUGUCCGUUUGGCUAGCCAAACGCGGGCUGGUUCAUAGAUCGUUGGGCUUCGAUUACCAAGGAAUAGAGACUUUACAAAUAAAGCCCGAAGAUUGGCAUUCUAUUGCUGUAAUUUUAUAUGUAUAUGGUUACAAUUAUUUACGUUCCCAAUGUGCCUAUGAUGUGGCACCAGGUGGCCUCUUAGCCAGUGUGUAUCAUCUUACGAGAAUAGAAUAUGGUGUCAAUCAAGCGGAAGAAGUUUGCAUAAAAGUAUUUACUCACAGGAGUAAUCCCAGAAUUCCAUCUGUUUUCUGGGUUUGGAAAAGUACGGAUUUUCAAGAACGGGAAUCUUAUGAUAUGUUAGGAAUCACUUAUGAUAGCCAUCCGCGGCUGAAACGGAUCUUAAUGCCCGAAAGUUGGAUAGGGUGGCCUUUACGUAAGGAUUAUAUUGCCCCCAAUUUUUAUGAAAUACAAGAUGCUUAUUGAAUGAUAAAAAAUUUGAAUGAUAAAAAUGAGUCUUAGUUUCUACAACUACGGACCUUCGCGGAAUAUUUUGAAUUCGAGUCGUUUUUAGAUCAAACAAACAGAAGAAUUAAGGUCUUAUUCAUAUUAUUAUAGAUAGCUUAAUCUCCAAUUUGAAAGAUACUUUUUUCCUAAAAGCCGAGCCAAUAGGAUGAACUAAAAAAAAAAAAAAGAGUUCUGCAUUAUGAACUUUGUAUCGCGCACAUAACUUAGUCAACUUUAGUCACAUAACUGGGAAUGAAUAAAUAAGAUUGGAAAGCAAUACAAUAAAUGGGGGGGUUAAAAUUCUAUUUCUAUUGUAUCUAAUCUAAUGAAUCUUGGGGGUAUUUCUGCCCUUCAACGAUAGAUACUAUAGAUAGAUAUAGAUAGAUAGAUAUAGAUCUUUUUUUUUUUACUUUUUUUUAUUCUUUCAACCAGAACUUUCCUUUCGAAUAUGUAUUAGGUAUAAAGUCUUAUACAUUUUUUUUGAACGGAUGGAUCCACAACAUGAACAAAAAAGAGAGGGGGAUAAAGGAUUAUUGCACUUUUUUUACUAAAGAUACGUUUAAUUUGAAGACUAUAAACUUAUCAAAAUUAAUCAAUCC
This 8560-nucleotide long non-coding RNA is filed under the name Brassica napus (rape). RNAcentral describes it as "long non-coding RNA (BNAP_LNC004044)". Lineage: Eukaryota; Viridiplantae; Streptophyta; Magnoliopsida; Brassicales; Brassicaceae. The record is from RNAcentral.